This 2759-nucleotide long non-coding RNA is filed under the name Sorghum bicolor (sorghum). RNAcentral describes it as "long non-coding RNA (SBIC_LNC017650)". Lineage: Eukaryota; Viridiplantae; Streptophyta; Magnoliopsida; Poales; Poaceae. The record is from RNAcentral.
GUGCCACGUCAGCGAUCCACGUGCUCCUUCCUUCUCCACCCUUGGAUGCACCGACCUCUCAACCGCCUUAGAUGAAUGGUUGGAGCAUUGGCACACAUGAGGAAGGUCGGUGGGAGUUAACCGACUCCAGAUGCGGCCCACCUGUAGGUCGGUCGACCUGCCCUUUGGCUGACUGUGGGUCCCAUAGACCUUCUAGAAGGUCCUUAGGUCGGUUAGAGGUUGGGCCAGGUGGCAUCACCCCAUAGGUCAGUCGGCUGACCGACCUUUGGGGCACUUGGCCCACCUCUGGCCUCCUGGUGGUAUCCCCACUUGUCAUGUGAAGUGUUGUCCAUAAUUGAGUCUAGUUGCACACUUGCUUGCUUUUAUAUAGGCCCAAGGAUCCAUGUGCUAAGGUUUUUGAACCGUUGAGGGCAAGCACACUUGGAUCCAAGGGUUGGCAAUGACUCCUUCGAGUAUGCCAUCGCUCAUGCCAUGGAGGGGACCCCUGGUGGGCCCAAACCCUGGUCGACCGACCUAGGUUAUGGGGCCCACAGGGCUCAUUUCCUUCUUCCCUGCAUUGAACAAGCUAAGAGCACAAGUGGAACUUUAUUAGUGAUAAAUAUGUUCAUGUGAUGCUUAUCUUCCUUCCAUCGAGGACUGUUGAUGGGCUUUUGAGUAUAUAGAACUGGGUCUUAUUUCCCGUCAACAAGAUCCCCCAAGCUUAACCUUUGCUCGUCCCGAGCAAACAAUCAAGACUUGGUUUGACCGGAUCAGGUAUUACCACUAAGUUAACAUCUUAAUAGUACUAAUUGCACAACAAAGAGCUUCUCCUUGAAUGGCAAACUUAGCAAUGUUAGCACACCAAUGUUACUUUAGCACCCAUGGGGCAUAUAGCAUUAACUCAGUCUUAUGAUGAUGAGAGAUAGAACAACUUUGACUUGACAUCUACUUUUCUCAUUCUAAAGCAAGUUUCAUGUCAGAGGUUUUUGCUAAGUUUUUCAAAAGAAAUCUUAAUGUUCCUCAUAUUGUUUCUCUCAAGUCACUCAAGCGGUGUAUAAAUCCUUACCGAGGCAUAUGAGUCAGUUGCCUUGUCUAUGUAAUCCUACUAUAAUAAAGGCUUAUGUGGAGCUCAAGGUAGAAACAAGGGGAUGGCGUACUUACAUUGCAUAUGUUGUGAAGUCAAACCUCAGAUCCUUGGAGGAAGAGUAGUGUCAUGCUCGAGAUCAAGAUAUAUAUAGUGGAAAGGUAGUAUGAGUAUGAUGGCUAGAUGGCUCUUUUAUUUGAUUAUGCUCUCUCUAUAUUUUUUUCUAUUGAGACAAGGCUAGCAUUUUUCUCUCUUUUUUUCUUUUUUUUUCAAGGACUUGAUGAUGUCUUUCCUAACAAGAUGACUAUUUUUCUAUAGUCUUUGCUUUGUGUCUCAUCUAACAUUUAGCUAUUAGAGAGAGAUUCUACACUUAGAGCAUGGAGCAUGUAUAUUUGGUGGAAUGGAAUGGAAUGGUAUGGAAUGUUGCAUACUCCCAGUGUGAGAGCAGAAGAUGUAUGUGAAUGGUGUGGAUCUUGAUCUCACUGAGCAUGACAAAACUCUAAACCAAGGGUCAACAAGAGUUGACAACUCUCAAUACAAGCAAGCAGCAUAUGUGCUAGGUUUCUAUCAUGUAGAGCAUAUAUGGCUUGUGGUAGGAAUUUAACACCAUUGAUGAACAAUUAAGUUUUUAUUCAUCUUAAAAAAAUAAAUUCUCUAGCAAUCAUGCAUCCUUAGAACAAUAGUAUAGAUCUCUUAUCUUAGCUAUAUCAUGUCUCACAAAAACUUAGACUUUGUUUUAGCACUUGCAACCCACUAAGUGUUCAAGUUCAUGAUGGUUAAGAAUGCUAAGUAAUCCAUACUUAGAGAAAUGCUAAUUUGUAAACAAGUACUCGAGAGACAUUAACUAGCAAUUUCAUCAUCAUUUCCAUAGAAAGGAUAGCACACAUGAAGCAUAUAUAUAAAAAGGAAAUAAAGCAAAUAAAUAUUUUUUGGUUUUUCUUAUUAUGCAAUAAGGAAACAAAUAAAAUGCAAAUAAGCAAGAAUUAAAUUAGGGGGGUUGGAAACUCACUUUGGAUAAACUUACCUUAGUGGGUGCGAGAAUCUCCCCCAAGCUUGCCUUCUUGCUCACUAGGGUGGUUGAUACCCAAACCAUUGGUCCCAUCGGUACUCACUCUCAGCUUGGAGGCUUUGUGCCAUGUCCAAGUUCUCUUGCAUGAGCUGCAAGGUGGUCUGCUAUCCGAUGUUGAUGUUCUCCAUAUCGCUGAUGAGUGUCUCCAUUUCUGACGGUGGUUGGCGCCUCCCCUUACCACGUGGGUGAGGGGUGCGCGCUGCUGAAGACGUCCUAGAGUGAUGAGGUGUUUCCAUGUGCAUGGAGUUCACCUCAUCCUCCUAUUAUGGUGCAGCAUAAGAGGGACCAGCUUGCUGCCGAGCAGCACGGGUCCGUGCUCUCAUCAUCGUGUCUAUCCCUGCAACAAGGUUGGCUCUAUUCUCUCUUCCCAGCCUCAGGGUUAGUGAUGAAGCAUUAUACAACCAAAGGUUCUCAUCGUGAAGAGAGACUUCAAUAGGAUAGUUCCCAUAAAUCAUUUUAAGGCCAUUUCUAGCAUCUCUUUUAAUCAAAUUAGCACUCUUAAGCAUCUGCUCACCUAAAAUAGAUCUAUCAUCCUAGAUGUACUCUACUUCAUUUGUUUCAAGCAAACCCAUAGAUUCAGCAAUUCUGGUGAUAAGUGAAGUAAAGCAUAGGGGCAUGCUAGGUGCA